Molecule: ribosomal RNA, 1151 nt
Filed under: Escherichia coli
Lineage: Bacteria; Pseudomonadati; Pseudomonadota; Gammaproteobacteria; Enterobacterales; Enterobacteriaceae
Description: partial 23S ribosomal RNA
Rfam family: Bacterial large subunit ribosomal RNA
Source: RNAcentral
AGCCCCGUACACAAAAAUGCACAUACUGUGAGCUCGAUGAGUAGGGCGGGACACGUGGUAUCCUGUCUGAAUAUGGGGGGACCAUCCUCCAAGGCUAAAUACUCCUGACUGACCGAUAGUGAACCAGUACCGUGAGGGAAAGGCGAAAAGAACCCCGGCGAGGGGAGUGAAAAAGAACCUGAAACCGUGUACGUACAAGCAGUGGGAGCCUCUUAAUGGGGUGACUGCGUACCUUUUGUAUAAUGGGUCAGCGACUUAUAUUCUGUAGCAAGGUUAACCGAAUAGGGGAGCCGAAGGGAAACCGAGUCUUAACUGGGCGUUAAGUUGCAGGGUAUAGACCCGAAACCCGGUGAUCUAGCCAUGGGCAGGUUGAAGGUUGGGUAACACUAACUGGAGGACCGAACCGACUAAUGUUGAAAAAUUAGCGGAUGACUUGUGGCUGGGGGUGAAAGGCCAAUCAAACCGGGAGAUAGCUGGUUCUCCCCGAAAGCUAUUUAGGUAGCGCCUCGUGAAUUCAUCUCCGGGGGUAGAGCACUGUUUCGGCAAGGGGGUCAUCCCGACUUACCAACCCGAUGCAAACUGCGAAUACCGGAGAAUGUUAUCACGGGAGACACACGGCGGGUGCUAACGUCCGUCGUGAAGAGGGAAACAACCCAGACCGCCAGCUAAGGUCCCAAAGUCAUGGUUAAGUGGGAAACGAUGUGGGAAGGCCCAGACAGCCAGGAUGUUGGCUUAGAAGCAGCCAUCAUUUAAAGAAAGCGUAAUAGCUCACUGGUCGAGUCGGCCUGCGCGGAAGAUGUAACGGGGCUAAACCAUGCACCGAAGCUGCGGCAGCGACACUAUGUGUUGUUGGGUAGGGGAGCGUUCUGUAAGCCUGUGAAGGUGGCCUGUGAGGGUUGCUGGAGGUAUCAGAAGUGCGAAUGCUGACAUAAGUAACGAUAAAGCGGGUGAAAAGCCCGCUCGCCGGAAGACCAAGGGUUCCUGUCCAACGUUAAUCGGGGCAGGGUGAGUCGACCCCUAAGGCGAGGCCGAAAGGCGUAGUCGAUGGGAAACAGGUUAAUAUUCCUGUACUUGGUGUUACUGCGAAGGGGGGACGGAGAAGGCUAUGUUGGCCGGGCGACGGUUGUCCCGGUUUAAGCGUGUAGGCUGGU